GACGAACGCUGGCGGCGUGCUUAACACAUGCAAGUCGAACGGAAAGGCCCUGCUUUUGUGGGGUGCUCGAGUGGCGAACGGGUGAGUAACACGUGAGUAACCUGCCCUUGACUUUGGGAUAACUUCAGGAAACUGGGGCUAAUACCGGAUAGGAGCUCCUGCUGCAUGGUGGGGGUUGGAAAGUUUCGGCGGUUGGGGAUGGACUCGCGGCUUAUCAGCUUGUUGGUGGGGUAGUGGCUUACCAAGGCUUUGACGGGUAGCCGGCCUGAGAGGGUGACCGGCCACAUUGGGACUGAGAUACGGCACAGACUCCUACGGGAGGCAGCAGUGGGGAAUAUUGCACAAUGGGCGGAAGCCUGAUGCAGCCACGCCGCGUGCGGGAUGACGGCCUUCGGUUUGUAAACCGCUUUCGCCUGUGACGAAGCGUGAGUGACGGUAAUGGGUAAAGAAGCACCGGCUAACUCCGUG
Molecule: ribosomal RNA, 468 nt
Filed under: uncultured bacterium
Lineage: Bacteria
Description: partial 16S ribosomal RNA
Rfam family: Bacterial small subunit ribosomal RNA
Source: RNAcentral